Varroa destructor (honeybee mite) is the source of this 3662-nucleotide long non-coding RNA. RefSeq lists it as uncharacterized. Lineage: Eukaryota; Metazoa; Arthropoda; Arachnida; Mesostigmata; Varroidae. The record is from RefSeq and is a predicted model, not a curated record.
CCUAUGUCGUAUAGAUACUGCAGGAACAAUAAUAGGACGGACAACAUGUCGUUUUCGCUUACGUUGUAUCUAUCGUGUACAUUUAGGUGAAAAGCGGCUCCCUUCCGCUGAUAGCAAUAGCCGCAGCACUCAGCAUUCACCAGCAGUGGCCAGCAAACCUGGCGACCCCGGGUUGCAGUGCAGUGAAGUGGCGAUUGACCUCGCCCCUUUGUCCUCCCUGCUGUGUGACCAAUUCUCAAUCGCUGCAAUAGAAGACGAGGGUUUGCGGUCUGCCGUGCUGGGGUCGCUCGACACAACUGCCGGAGUACCAUGGUACCUGCAUAUGACGAUACUGCGAUAAUUACCCUGGUCGUCGAUCUACUACCCUACUAACUGUCGCGGCAGCAUCUACAGUGUUGCGAUUCGUGUGUGUGUUUGUGCGUCUGCGUGUAUGUGUGUCAACGUUACCGCUGUCCGUGGGAAACGACCAAUUAACCCGGGUCCAACGUUCUACAAUUCUACCGCUGUUUAAAGCAUCAACCGCUAGUCAGUCGGUCAGUAGCGGCAUCACCUUUUGGUAGAUCCACCAUGAACAGCCACGGCACAAGCAAUAGCAGUCGUGGUUUGGUACCGUUGAAGCAGUACGUUAGUUUGUCAUUGCCGCUGCCUGCACAGCGCGUUGGCUCCGGUGGGCCACUGCCUUCAUUGCAACGGCGGCCGGCUGCGGCAAUAGCAGCAGCAUUCGGGGUCGGCGGCCUGGCGGCGGGUGUAGCCGGCGCCUGAUCCGAGUACUGAGGCUCGUUUUGUCGCUCGGCGCUACGUCGUCCAUCAGCAUUCAGUCAGUAAAUCAGUGUACGGUAGACAGCAUCACUGCCAACGGUAACAUCAGCAUUGGCAGUUGUCUUAACAGCAACAGCUGUUGCAGUUUCUUUCACCAUCAUCGUCAGCGGUGGGAGCAAAAGUAGAAGUAACGACCCUGUGGUCUUCGCGUUUUGCUCUUGUAGUUAUCCUAUAGCGGCUACCGAUGCCGUGGUGACAAUCGAUGCUUGUGACACCAGAUCUGCGUCGCUGAGCUAUUGAAUGGUUUCUUCAGUGAACCGCCAAUGACCAGCACCUAAGCUCACUGCCCGUUAACAAGCGACCAGCCGUGGAUGCGCUAUCGUUGGCGUCAUAUAUGCAUAUACGUACCAUGGCUCACUACAAACGGCAUUCUGUGUUUGCGCGCAUGCCUACGUGUAUGCAAGUUUGCGCCCGAGUGUGGCCACUGUGUGCGUGCGUGCAUGUGUAUGUGUUUGUGGGUGAGCCAAAUUAUGUGUCGUCGUUUGUGACGGCGGUAGGGCUUUCCCGACCACGACCACGGCGAUUAAAAGGUGAACAUCGCCGGCCGACGGUCGGCCGGUGCUCACUACAUAGAGCUACGCCGCUGAUCCUGGCCGGUCAGUCAGUCGGUUAGCCGAUUCUUGAACAUCGCGCCAACGUUGGGAUCAGGAGUGGUUGGCACGUACCAAAUUGAACGGUUACAAUAGCACGACCAACGGCGGAUAGAAACAACAUCACCAACAACGGCAACAACAACAGCAGUAGCAGCGACAUCGACGAUCGUCGCGAUAUAGGUAUAAUAGUAGCAACAACAGUGGCGUCAACAUCUUAUCCAUCUCGCGAUCAUCCUAUUCAUCUUUGCGUUUAUUGCGUCGCUAGUGGCGGAAAUGUUUUAUGCACACAAUAGUGUGGGAUUCACCUGAGCCAUCACUGAGACCGCUCCCGUCAGAGACUAGCUUAAAAACAGGAAGAAAGGUGCAUCCACCGCUUAGAUAGUGGAUGAGGACCCCAUAAGCCGGAAAAACCACGACUUGUCGAGCAUUAGCCCAGUGAGUGAGAGGGGAGAAGGGGAGAGGAAGAGGGAGGGGGCAAACGAAGAAAAAAGGGAAAGGAACUGGGGAGGAGCCAGAAACUCAACCUUCCAUCGUCUCAGGUGCUCGAGGAGAUUGUUUGGCCUAUGAUGCUUCACCGAUUUCUCCAGCUUUCGAAGAUGGCCAGCCAGCAACCAGACUGAGCUUCAGAAAAUAGCAAUUUCUAAGCAAACCGUCGGAAUUUUGAUUUAACAAAUUUGAGACGCUCUGAGAGAGCCCAUCGCUCACCAUCUAAGAUGUCUAAUUCUGUAGAAGUGGUAGAUCUGAGGCCUUAUCAGACCAGUAUCUCUUGCUUCCAACAAGGACGUAUCACAUCGAACCGGGACGUAUUGUUAACUGCCUAUAUAUAUUCAUACAUGGGUAAUUCUUUCGGUGUCGACAAGGUUGCCGUGGUAAAUCAACGCUCUCUAAGAAAAUCUCAAGAUUCAUUUAUCAAAAAUAUUAUUUAAUACAAACAUUAGUCUCAUUCUAUUCUAACACUACGCACGCUCCGCCAUCUAAAUAUAUUGCAAGAUAUGUAGCAAGUAUGAAUUUUCACUUGAUACGCGUUUGUAACGAUUUGCUCAGAUACAACGCGAUUUAUAACGAGCGGUUUUCUUUAAACAAUUUCAGAGAGGUUACUAUUACAUUGCACGAAGUGCUGAUAGCGGAAUGAGCGACGCAAAACACGUGAAGCGGAAAAACUAGAAUUUCAGCAAACGAAUAGCGUAAAGUCUUGAAUAAUGGAUCCAGGUAUUGUCCGUCCUGCCUAGAUAACCAGCGAUUUGAUUCUAUGGCACCAAUCGGAUGAUAGGAUCGGCACAGUACCAGCAGGCGGAGGCCCUUCGAGCAAGAAAUAAACGAUAGAUCCUGACGGCAACAUACAAGCUGCGCAACCCUGGCCUUAACUGGCCUUCAACCCUUCAACUCGGCGGUAAAAAAUAGCAGCAGUAGCAGCAGGCAAUCGCCGCCGCACUUGGUUCUGCGGCAGGCCGUUCAGUCCGUUGUGAAUCUGCGAACACGGUUCGUUACUAAAUUCCCCAAGUCGAAUGGCUUUCACCGCCUCAUCAGCGCAGCAGUAGUGGCGUGUAUAUGUGCGCCUGCGUAUAAUACCUUCUACUUCCGCCACUCAGUUAGUGGUCCCGGUCGAAAUGCGCUCCUCUCUAGAGGCCUUGCCGCUGAAACGGCGGCCAAUCGCGUCCCACCACUUUUACCUCUACCGAACAAUAGACGCAAGGAAUUAGUUAGCUAACUAACUGCCUUCGCACGACGUUCGCUGGUUAGAUCGCUGCGAAUUUCACCAACGUUGUCAACAAACGUUCACCAAUAGGCCAACCGCCAUAUCUCCAAGGUCAGCCUUCUGGACGCGUCAUGGAACUUUUGUCUGUUUUCCUCCGUUUGAGUGCUCCUCUAGCUCUGUUAACUAGAUUAUUAUAUUAGUUAACUCUCAAGUAAAUAAUAAACGAAGGAUGUUUUACUCGCUUUGUUGAUAUUGCAGAUAGAUAGAUAUUUGAAAGACAUGCGGCGACCCUGAAAGCAGUUAUGUUGCAUUGCGGUUGUGUAUUUUAAUAGUUAAGAGCGGUCGUUUAUGACGCGCUUUUCCGUGUCAUCUUACAUCGAGGUCAAGGCGAUCUUCAUCAACUCGACGCGAUAAACCAACGUCUGCAGUGAACGGAGUUCGGAAUCUCGACAAACAACACCACGCUGACAAAGAUGAUAGAAACCAAGGCGACUGAAACUAACAACUAACACCGUAUAGGUUGAAUAAACGAUGUGGUUUGUUUGGCGCGCAAA